GGAAAGGGUGUGCCUAAGAGAGGUUAUUUGGGUGAACGGCCAUUGUAAUCGCUUCUCAUCCGGCACAGGUGGAUAGAGGCAGGAUGGGGGAAGAGGGCUGCCUGGAUCUGGGAUUUCCAAUUCCCCAUACUUCUCAGCCUAUUAGUGAGGGGGAGCUAGAGGAGGGGUGUGGACUUAGCAGAUUAAGAAAGAGAAGCACUUACUCCUUAACAGUGGGAACGAAGGAUGGCAGAGGAAGUUUGAACUCUGAGACAAGAGGAGUGGCCUACCCUGGUGGAGACGGGAGAGGCACGUGUCCUCCACAUGCCUGUCCAAGUGUCUGAUAGGGUGGUCCCUGCUCUGAAGGAUGAGUGUGAGCCGCAGGCCGUGGGGAUGCCCUGAGGAUGUGGGUGUCUGCCUAGUGCUGGGUGGUGCCCAUCUCUGUUUCUCCCCACCCCUCUCCGGAGGUGCUACCAUCGUCCUUUGCCCUCUGCGUGCUCUCCUCUCACCCCUGCUGCCUCUUGUUCUCUUUCUCCCUUGGGCCAUGAAAGUGUCAGGGAGCCCAGCCACGGCCUGGACGGCAGCCUCAGCUCCCAGUUGUCAACAAUUGUGUGUGUAUGUGUGUGUGUGUGUGUGCGUGUGUGUGUGUGCAUGUGUGCAUGCAUACGUGUGAGUGCCUGUGUGUAUGUGUGGGUGUGUAGGGGCUGGGGCUGGGGUCAACAAAGGAUCAGAGCCCAGCAGUAGAGAGUUUCUGGGAGGGUGGCGUUGCCCAUGAGUCGUGCCCUGCACCCUGGAGCCCAGAGGACCCUUCGCUCAAACCCACCACCAGCUGGCAACACCGGAGCAGCCAGAGCCACUUCCUUCGCUGCGCAGAGGAGCCUGGGAGAAGCCAGAGGUGCUCGAGGAUGGAUUCCUGGCUCCUGGUGCACUGCCACUCCGUGCCACCCACCUCCUAGUUUUCUGUCUUCUCCUGGUGGCAUCAGGCCUUGCUUCGUGUCCCACCAGGAGUUUCUGGGGCUGGGACAGUCCUGGCUGUCUACAACCUGGGCCUGGUCGAUCUCUCAGGGUACGUCUGGGAGGUCAUGACCACCCUGCUCCUGGCUAACUGCAGCUACUUCCGUCAGCCAGUGGACUACGGCUGGAGCAAGUGUGGAAUGAGGGUAUGGCAGGGAGCAGAAGGUAAGCAGAAGGUUAGGAGGGAGAACUUCAUAACAAUCUGAGGUCAAGGAGGUGUUGCCUGAGCCUUUCGAUGAGAGGCAGGGGACUGGCUGGUUAUGUGCAGGCUUUGGAGUCGGAUGACCUUGGACCUCAGGUUGGAUCUCAGCUCUGCCAUUUCCUUGCUGUGUGAUUGUGGGUGGCACACCUAACUUUUCUGGGACUCAAUUCUCUUACCUACAAAAUUGAGAUGAUAAUACCUAUUUUCUAAAGGGAAAUGAUUGAAAGAAGAUGGAAUCAGAUAGUAUAUGAUAGAUCAUAUAUGAAAGUGUUUAGCAUGGGGCAGCACACACUGAGUGGUAGCUAAGUGGUAGCUUCAUCACUGUUAGCUGUUCUCCGUUUCCACUGGAAGCAGAAAAAAAAAAACCUUCCUUGUAACAAAAGACUCUAGCUGAGGCUUGUCACCAGGUAGCUGAGGCUUGUCACCAGGUGAUAUGUAUGUUGAGUCACUGGAUGUUGGUGAUGGGCUGAAGUCCUGUGACUCAAAGUAUGAUCCUGGGGCUGACAGCAUCAGCAUCAUCUGGGAGCUUGUGGGAAAUGCAGAAUCUCACGUUCCACCCCAUGCACACCGAUUAAGAAUCUGCUUUUCAAUGAACAAAAUGCCCACAUGCUCAUUAGAUUGCAAGGUUCUGGGCUGGGGCACAUUGGGAGAGUCCUUCUGUGGUCACUCCAGUAGCUUCUCCCCUUCUUUCCUGUGCUAACAGGCAUCUACCUGCAGACAGGUAGGACUGUGUGAUCAGCGGUGCAUAGAACAGUGAGGAUUCGAGGCUGAACCCAGACCAGCAAGGACGAGCUGUGGCACCAGCAGGACUGCAGUCUGAUGAACUUCCCCUUUCUGCCCAGCAGAUGGCGAGCGUGUGCUGCUGGUGCCGCUUUCUGAAGGCUGUUGAAUUGCAUGACAGGUGUUCUUUACUUUAUGAAUGAAAGCAAAGCAGCCCACCUUUCUGCAACUCUACCGCCAUGGCGCCAUGCCCUGUGAUGGUUGGUCUGGAGUCGAAUAUGC
Long non-coding RNA from Cebus imitator (Panamanian white-faced capuchin), 2197 nucleotides. RefSeq lists it as uncharacterized. The transcript has 4 exons. The record is from RefSeq and is a predicted model, not a curated record. NCBI's taxonomy places the organism in Eukaryota, Metazoa, Chordata, Mammalia, Primates, Cebidae.